GAUGAACGCUGGCGGCGUGCCUAAUACAUGCAAGUCGAGCGAACAGACGAGGAGCUUGCUCCUCUGACGUUAGCGGCGGACGGGUGAGUAACACGUGGAUAACCUACCUAUAAGACUGGGAUAACUUCGGGAAACCGGAGCUAAUACCGGAUAAUAUAUUGAACCGCAUGGUUCAAUAGUGAAAGACGGUUUUGCUGUCACUUAUAGAUGGAUCCGCGCCGCAUUAGCUAGUUGGUAAGGUAACGGCUUACCAAGGCGACGAUGCGUAGCCGACCUGAGAGGGUGAUCGGCCAAACUUGAACUGAGACACGGUCCAGACUCCUACGGGAGGCAGCAGUAGGGAAUCUUCCGCAAUGGGCGAAAGCCUGACGGAGCAACGCCGCGUGAGUGAUGAAGGUCUUCGGAUCGUAAAACUCUGUUAUUAGGGAAGAACAAAUGUGUAAGUAACUAUGCACGUCUUGACGGUACCUAAUCAGAAAGCCACGGCUAACUACGUG
RNAcentral lists this ribosomal RNA (497 nucleotides) under uncultured bacterium. RNAcentral describes it as "partial 16S ribosomal RNA". It matches the Rfam family "Bacterial small subunit ribosomal RNA", at positions 28 to 507 of the family's 1533-position model. The record is from RNAcentral.